This 88-nucleotide unclassified non-coding RNA is filed under the name Flavobacterium gillisiae. Its description in RNAcentral is "Flavo-1 RNA". Lineage: Bacteria; Pseudomonadati; Bacteroidota; Flavobacteriia; Flavobacteriales; Flavobacteriaceae. The record is from RNAcentral.
UUUUGGGUGAGGGAUAGAAGCGAAAAGCCCACAGGCAUUGAGCUUUUGCGAAAGUGACGAGGACUUGUAGCGGAUAGCCCGACCAAGC